This 1659-nucleotide ribosomal RNA is filed under the name Triticum aestivum (bread wheat). RNAcentral's name for it is "partial small subunit ribosomal RNA". Lineage: Eukaryota; Viridiplantae; Streptophyta; Magnoliopsida; Poales; Poaceae. The record is from RNAcentral.
AUGCUGGACGAACAGAAAAGGUCUUCAUCAAAACAGAAAAAGAAGAGACGCAAAACUGCUUCGGAUGGUGAAGCUGGCCCCUCAAACCAGGGUAUUUGUAUUGAACCGAGUUUGACUCUGAUGGCAGCUUUAAAUGUACGCUUGAAGGACAAAAUGGCAUCAGUAGAAAAGCUCAUUGAUAAAGCGCAGGGCAUUAUCGCAUUGGCAAAGCCGUCAACCAAGGGCGAAACUGCUCCCGCCAGAAAGAUAAACACACGAACUACAUCAGCUCCAACGGUAAAGAUAACUGGACGAGAUGGGGAUCGUGACCGGAUAACAGAAAUGCUUCAUGGUAGAGAGGAUGAUGUCAAUCCAAGUUCAAGUAACAGUAAUUGUUUCUCUGUAAUAGGCAUUUAUGGCAUUUCAGGAUCUGGGAAGACAACGCUCGCACAACAUGUUUGCAAGUAUGAGAGAAGUAAUACCUAUUUUGACCUUAUUAUAUGGAUUCAUGUUUCUCAGCACUUUAGUGUGGGUGACAUUUUCAAGGAGAUGUUUGAGGCAGCUUCAGUGGAUAAAGACAAAGCUUGCCCUAAUUACAAUAGCCUUGAUGUCCUUGAAAAAGAACUGGAGAAGAAACUAGAUGGUAAGCAAUUCCUAUUGGUAUUAGAUGAUAUCUGGUGCAAUAAGGAUGUCAGUGAGCAGCAGUUACUGAGGUUACUUUCUCCACUGAAUGUUGGAAAGAGAGGAAGCAAGAUCCUAGCGACAAGUCGCAAUAAAGAUGCAUUUUCAGAGCUAGGUCCUGGUAUGGAACCUACCUUUUUUCAAAUACCUACCUUGGAUGAACAAGUGUUCUUGGAAUUGUUCAUGUAUUAUGCCCUUGAUGGUGGACGUGUUGAUGAUCCAGAUCAAAUAGAACUCAGAAUUAUCGGGGCUGAAAUUGCACAAAAAUUGAAAGGAUCGCCACUGGCAGCCAGCACAGUGGGAGGACAACUACGUAAAAGACAAAAAAAUGUUGACUUUUGGAGAGAAGUUAGAGAUAGAGACCUUCUGAAUGAGACGAUGGGGGCCUUGUGGUGGAGUUACCAGCAUCUUGAUGAGCACGUCAGGCGAUGCUUUGCUUACUGCAGUAUUUUCCCCAAAAGACAUCGUUUGAACUGUGAUGAGUUAGUUAAAUUGUGGGUGGCAGAAGGAUUCAUAAAUAUUGCUCAUCCAGAGCAGGACAUGGAAGCUGUUGGUCGGCGUUACUUUGAUGAGUUAGUGGCAACCUCAUUCGUGCAAUCAGGAGAAAAUUAUGUAGGCAAGGAUUGUUAUUUUGUCCAUGAUCUUAUGCAUGAUUUGGCUGAGAAGGUGGCAGGGAGUGAUUGCUUUAGAAUCGAGAAUGGCUUGAGAACAGAAAUUCCUGUUGAUGUUCGUCAUCUUUUUGUUGCAAAUACAGCAAUGAUUACUGAGGAGAUUUUUAAAUUGAAAAAACUGCGCACUCUCAUUAUCGAUGAUACGGCACCCAUCAACAAAGAACUCAUAAAAAAAGUGUCUGAGAACCUGGAGAAAUUGAGGGUUUUGGCUGUAGAAACCUCAGGGGCAAUUGAGUUCAAAAUUCCAGAAACUAUUGGUCAUUUAAAGCAUCUACGCUAUCUUGCUUUACUGAGCCCCGAGAAGUGCUAUCUUUGCCAAAAACAAUAG